UACGUAGGGUGCGAGCGUUAAUCGGAAUUACUGGGCGUAAAGCGUGCGCAGGCGGUGAUGUAAGACAGGUGUGAAAUCCCCGGGCUUAACCUGGGAACUGCGCUUGUAACUGGCAAGCUAGAGUGUGGCAGAGGGGGGUGGAAUUCCACGUGUAGCAGUGAAAUGCGUAGAGAUGUGGAGGAACACCGAUGGCGAAGGCAGCCCCCUGGGCUAACACUGACGCUCAUGCACGAAAGCGUGGGGAGCAAACAGG
This 253-nucleotide ribosomal RNA is filed under the name uncultured bacterium. RNAcentral describes it as "partial 16S ribosomal RNA". It matches the Rfam family "Bacterial small subunit ribosomal RNA", at positions 524 to 776 of the family's 1533-position model. The record is from RNAcentral.